This 253-nucleotide ribosomal RNA is filed under the name uncultured bacterium. RNAcentral's name for it is "partial 16S ribosomal RNA". It matches the Rfam family "Bacterial small subunit ribosomal RNA", at positions 524 to 776 of the family's 1533-position model. The record is from RNAcentral.
UACGGAGGGUGCGAGCGUUGUCCGGAAUCACUGGGCGUAAAGGGCGCGUAGGCGGCGCGGGCAGUCAACGGUGAAAGCUCGGGGCUCAACCCCGAGUCGGCCGUCGAUACUCCCGUGCUUGAGCACUGUAGAGGCAGAUGGAAUUCCGGGUGUAGCGGUGGAAUGCGUAGAGAUCCGGAAGAACACCGGUGGCGAAGGCGGUCUGCUGGGCAGUAGCUGACGCUGAGGCGCGAAAGCGUGGGGAGCAAACAGG